GGCUUCUCAAAAACAGUAUCAAAAUGUUUCUCAAAAAAGGUUAAUCAAAAGGUUUCUCAAAAACAGUUUAUCAAAAGGUUUCUCAAAAAUGGUGUUACAAAAGGUUUAUCAGAGGUUUCUCAAAAAGGGUUUAUCAAAAAUGGUUUAUAAAGGUUCCUCAAAAAUGGUUUAUCAAAAUGUUUCUCAAAAAGGGUUUAAUAAAAUGUUUCUCAAAAAUGGUGUUUCAAAAGGUUUCUCAAUGGAAGCAGUUUCAUAAGAUGGUUUUUCAAUAAAGGCAAUUUCAAUAGGUUUCUGAAAGGCUUUUAUAUAGGUUUCUGAAAGGCUUUUAUAUAGGUUUCUGAAAGGCUUUUAUAUAGGUUUCUGAAAGGCUUUUAUAUAGGUUUCUGAAAGGCUUUUAUAUAGGUUUCUCAAAGGCUUUUAUAUAGGUUUCUCAAAGGCUUUUAUAUAGGUUUCUGAAGGCUUGUCAAUCAGAUAGAGCGGUAGAGAAGACAGGAAAGUCAGAGCAGCCAAAAUGUAGCUAGAGGGAUAGAGAAAAGGGGGCAGAAGACAGAGUGGCUUUUCAAUUAGAUAGAGCGGUAGAGGAGACAGGAAAGUCAGAGCGUCCAAAAUUUAGCUAGAGGGAUAGAGAAAAGGGGGACACAAGACAGAGUGGCUUUUCAAUUAGACAGAGUGGUAGAGAAGACAGGAAAGUCAGAGCGGCCAAAAUGAUAGGGGAGAGCUGGGAGACUGGACAGGAUAC
RNAcentral lists this long non-coding RNA (739 nucleotides) under Xyrichtys novacula (pearly razorfish). Lineage: Eukaryota; Metazoa; Chordata; Actinopteri; Labriformes; Labridae. The record is from RNAcentral.